RNAcentral lists this ribosomal RNA (496 nucleotides) under uncultured Glomeromycotina. RNAcentral describes it as "partial small subunit ribosomal RNA". It matches the Rfam family "Eukaryotic small subunit ribosomal RNA", at positions 591 to 1092 of the family's 1831-position model. Lineage: Eukaryota; Fungi; Glomeromycota. The record is from RNAcentral.
CCAAUAGCGUAUAUUAAAGUUGUUGCAGUUAAAAAGCUCGUAGUUGAAUUUCGGGGUUCUACCGUUGGUCGGGCAAUUGUCUGUACUGGCGUGUGGAAUUUCUACCUUCUGGGGAACCAUCAUGUUAUUAAUUUAGCGUGGUGGGAAACCAGGACCUUUACCUUGAAAAAAUUAGAGUGUUCAAAGCAGGCUUACGUCUGAAUACAUUAGCAUGGAAUAAUAAAAUAGGACGGUGGUCCUGUUUUGUUGGUUUCUGAACCACCGUAAUGAUUAAUAGGGAUAGUUGGGGGCAUUAGUAUUCAAUUGUCAGAGGUGAAAUUCUUGGAUUUAUUGAAGACUAACUUCUGCGAAAGCAUUUGCCAAGGAUGUUUUCAUUAAUCAAGAACGAAAGUUAGGGGAUCGAAGACGAUCAGAUACCGUCGUAGUCUUAACCAUAAACUAUGCCGACUAGGGAUCGGACGAUGUUAAUUUUUCUUGACUCGUUCGGCGCCUUACG